AGUCAAAGCACAGCUUCGGCUGUGAAGCAGGAGGACUCAUCUGAAAUGGCUCUCGAUGAGGAAAUGGAGGUGUACGGAGGUAAGAGCCCCACAGUGCUCAAGUGGAAGCUUCAGGCCUGGCCCAGGCCCACCCCAGCCUCUGGCUCCCGCUGCUCAUCUGCACUGCUGCUGACUCACCCCUGACAGUGGGGACUUCAUUCUACUGUAUAACACCUUGAAAAGAUCUUGAUUUGUGAGAACAUCCCUCUUGUCAUUCAUGAUAGC
RNAcentral lists this long non-coding RNA (264 nucleotides) under Ictidomys tridecemlineatus (thirteen-lined ground squirrel). RNAcentral's name for it is "lncRNA (ENSSTOG00000033364.1)". The record is from RNAcentral. Lineage: Eukaryota; Metazoa; Chordata; Mammalia; Rodentia; Sciuridae.